Herpailurus yagouaroundi (jaguarundi) is the source of this 907-nucleotide long non-coding RNA. RefSeq lists it as uncharacterized. The record is from RefSeq and is a predicted model, not a curated record. NCBI's taxonomy places the organism in Eukaryota, Metazoa, Chordata, Mammalia, Carnivora, Felidae. The transcript is spliced from 3 exons.
CUUUUUGUAAAACGGGCAUCAAGGGAAGGUGCUUUGAUUUCUCAUAUAAACUGAUUCUUGAAAACCCAGGUUCUAGCACACCAAAUAGGCAGGGACGAGAAAAAAGAGCAAAGCCCUCCUGUUGGACGGCAUUCUUACAUCACCCACUUUAAAAUUAAAUCUGAAACAGAGUUCUGACAGGCCUGCUAUUUUCUUCAGUGCCAACAGCCACACAAUAGACCUUUUUUUUUUUUUUUUUUUUUUUGGACAAAGCUCUUAAAAUGCUUGGAGAUUCAGAUGUACUGAGUCACCAGGGUUCACAAAUACUGCGCACCCGUUCUUGCGGGUGCCCCGUCCCUUCCUUUGGAAACGAUACUAUAUUUUCUCUGUGUUUGGCCGAAGGAAAGAAAUAUUUUCAUUGGACUUGCAAGCUGUUUGAAAGAGGGUGACUGGGGAGGGGCAGGUCUGAAAGUGGGUGGCUGUCCUUCGAUCUGGUGGCCUCCGAGCAGGGGUGGCAAAGUUACCAUUUUAGAGGGACCUGUUGGUUUUCCUUCCACGCGGCGUGCAAUGGUGCUCAACCCCACGGCCACAUCGGCUUCAAGCGCGCCCUGAGUGUAUAACACGCAGCACCGAGAGGUGACGCAACGCUUCACAGACACAACCGUGGGACUGCUUCGCCGAGUUGUGAAAUAAUUGAGAGGUGUUGCAAAUGCAUCCACGCGCCGCGAGUGAGCAACCGACUUCAAGUCUGAACACGUCUCCCGAGGGAUAUUUUAGCUUGACGAUAAUGAUGGCGAGUGUGCGCGCUUGAAAUCAGGAGGGCAAAAGGGCCCGAGGCAGAGCCAAGUUCCGUGGAGGGAAGGGGUGGGACUGGGAGCCACGGGGCGCGCGAGCGGGUGUAGACGCGGGAGGUAGUGGUUGCAUCUCC